AUGGAGGCGCUGGGCCUCCUGGGCCGCGCGUGCCGCCUCGGCCACUUCCGCCGCCGCAGCACGGCCACUCCUCCCCCUCCCCCUCCUCGCAGCAACAGCAAGCGCUGCAGAGCCGUGCGCGCCGGAGCCAGAGCCGCCUCGUCGUCGGCGCCGCGGGCGAUGGAAGCCAAGCGGGAGGAGCCGAGGGUGGUGACGCUGCGGCCGGUGGAGGCCACGCCGGAGUCCUUCGCGCCCUUCGGGCAGGUCAUCGCCGCCUCCCCCGACGGCGACCAGUUCGGCCCCCACGACGCCCAGCUCGACCUCAGCCGCGGCAUCCCCAGGUUCUACAUCAUGAGAUUGGAGAGCAGGCCGCUCAAGUUCUCGUCCAUCACCCACCACGCCAGCGUCACGCAGUGCCUGGGCUCCAUCGGCGGCCAGGACUGGUACCUCGGCGUGGCCAAGCCUUCCAUCGUUGACGGGGCGACGGAGCAGAGUGGUGGCGGGAGUGCCGUGCAGUCGCGCGCUGGGCAUUUCUAUCUGCCCCCGGACCCGUCCGAGGUCUGCGUCUUCCGUGUCUCCGGUCCGAAAUUUCUCAAGCUGCACGCCGGGACCUGGCACGCCGGGCCGCUGUUCAAGGCAGACGCCGUGGAUUUCUAUAAUCUAGAGCUGAGCAACACCAAUAUCGUGGAUCACACCACGCACUACUUCAAGAAGCACGACGGUGUAGCCUUUGUGAUCGAGGACUGA
RNAcentral lists this ribosomal RNA (726 nucleotides) under Triticum aestivum (bread wheat). Its description in RNAcentral is "partial small subunit ribosomal RNA". Lineage: Eukaryota; Viridiplantae; Streptophyta; Magnoliopsida; Poales; Poaceae. The record is from RNAcentral.